Molecule: ribosomal RNA, 254 nt
Filed under: uncultured bacterium
Lineage: Bacteria
Description: partial 16S ribosomal RNA
Rfam family: Bacterial small subunit ribosomal RNA
Source: RNAcentral
UACGUAGGGACCAAGCGUUGUUCGGAUUUACUGGGCGUAAAGGGCGCGUAGGCGGCUUGACAAGUCACUUGUGAAAUCUCCGGGCUUAACUCGGAACGGCCAAGUGAAACUGUCAUGCUAGAGUGCAGAAGGGGCAAUCGGAAUUCUUGGUGUAGCGGUGAAAUGCGUAGAUAUCAAGAGGAACACCUGAGGUGAAGACGGGUUGCUGGGCUGACACGUGACGCUGAGGCGCGAAAGCCAGGGGAGCAAACGGG